This is a long non-coding RNA of Triticum aestivum (bread wheat), 2023 nucleotides long. RefSeq lists it as uncharacterized. Lineage: Eukaryota; Viridiplantae; Streptophyta; Magnoliopsida; Poales; Poaceae. The record is from RefSeq and is a predicted model, not a curated record. The transcript is spliced from 3 exons.
CCCCCACCCACCCGUCUCCCGCCGCCACCCACCUGUCCCGUCGCCGCCACCCACCAGUCCCCUCGCCGCCACCCACCAGUCCCCUCGCUGCCACCCAUCUCCACCACACCUCUCUUCCCCACCUCAGAUCCCCUCCCCUCUCCCCACUCCCAUAUCCAACUUCCCACUGCCACCUCCGGCGCCCAAUCUUGGUGACCUAACGGAGGAUUCUAUGGCGCCCAGCACACCUGCACCCGUCACCGGCCAUGGAGGCGGUGGCCCUCCCCGCCGGUGACGUGCCGACCAUGAACGCGGUCCUCACCAACUCGCUCAGCACCGAUGAGGUGAUGCGGCACCCCGCGGAGUAGGCCCUCUCCAUGUUACCGUCCCGUCCUUCUCCUUUAUGUCUCUCUCUCUCCCUCGUGCAUCUUCCGUCUCUCUCAGGUACAUCUACAAAAGCCCCGCCAUGGAUGGCCUCUUCAGGAGCUCCUGCCGCCGCUGCAGUUCGUCCACAUCGCCGCCCCGCGGACCACCCCUGUGCCUCUGCCACCCCACCAUUUAGCCACGAUGCCCGCUCGUUCUCUGCUUUGAGCGAUGGGACAUGCACCGCCCCUCGUUGACCUCCGGCGAGCUCCAAGUCCCAUGAUCCACGACAGCCAGCCCAGCCCCUCCAAGUCCCACGAUCCACGACAUCUAGCCAGCUACGUUCCAGUCGUCAUCGACCUGCCCCGCAGCUAGCAGGUCCUCAUUGUCGUCAUCAUGGCCGGGUCGCCUGUUGAAGGAGUUCAUUCUGGGCAGCCGGAGGCGUACGGGUUCAAGAUCAACGACAAGUUUUUUCGAAGGUCCAGAGACCCACCCUUGGACCAUGUUAUCGAGAUGCUACAGAAGCACAAGGAUAAGUCUCAAGAUGAAAUUUAGCUAGUUGGCUACACUAUGCCUUAUGCUGUUGUUGAUUUAUUUCUUUUGUGCUCGUUGCAGUUCUAAAUCGAUGAGUGAGUGAUCAGGUAGCAGCUAGCUAACUGCCUCUAGAUUGUAACCCUGUUAUGGGAUGUGUGGUUGCGCAUGCAUUCUGCAUUGUCAAAUGUGUUCUUUGUUGUCACACAUCGUAUGCGAUGUUGUUCAUAGUUUUUAUAUUUGUUGUCAUGCGAUGCGUUCACUGAAUUGCUCAAAUUUGCUGGCCAAGUACUAUGUAGUGCUGUUCUAUGCUUGGCUACCAGGCUAGGUAACUUCUGUACCAAAAUCAUGGGUUCUAAUCUUUACUAUUAUCUGCCAUGGAUCAACAAUGAUGCGUCACAGGUAGUAAUAGUAGUAGUAGAGUCGGACUUGCUGCUGCAUUGCCCAGUUAUUAAAGGCAUGCUCUAUAUUGUUUUGUCACAUGCACUUUGGUGUAUAUAUGAUGGGGAUUUUGUACAUGAACAAAAGAAACAAGGGUAAAACUAUAUUUAUCACUUUGCAUAACCUCAGUACAUUUACAUGCACACGCACACACAUUUGACUGCUGAGUGUUUGAAUUAUUGGAAUGUGGGGGUUGGUCUGUUUAUUCCCAUGCUCUUUGCUGGUUUGGGGACCGGUGUGUUAUUUAUUGGGCUAUUCAACACUAUUUUUUGUGAGUCGGGAAGAAAAAUGGAGCUGAUAAUUUGUUAGGCUAUUCAAAACCUGGAAGGAAGAUGAGUACUCUGGUUACUGAUAAUUUGUAGUUAUGCUAACAAAAUUUACAACUAUUGUUUGAUUCAAACCUUUGUUCUUUUUCUUGGUGUUUACAGGUGCCGAUGAGUAGAUGUUGGUCAAAUCCUCGAUGUCCUACAUUGUCGGCAACCCCAGAAUGUCCGACACUGAAUUCGACAAGCUCAAGCUCGUAUUCAACAUCAGUAUGAAACAAGAUUUGAGAUUUGGAAGCUGGGAAGCUGGGAAGCUGGGGAAUGCGAAGUUUGAAGAGACCUGGAGUAUUUCGACUGAUUGCCAUUUGUAUAUGUGUUAUAUGAUGAUGUAACACACUGAUUCUGCUAUUGUAUGAUGUAUCAAACUGAUUUUGGCUAUUAUUUGA